This 253-nucleotide ribosomal RNA is filed under the name uncultured bacterium. Its description in RNAcentral is "partial 16S ribosomal RNA". It matches the Rfam family "Bacterial small subunit ribosomal RNA", at positions 524 to 776 of the family's 1533-position model. The record is from RNAcentral.
UACAGAGGUCUCGAGCGUUAGUCGGAUUUAUUGGGCUUAAAGCGUGCGUAGGCGGAUGUGCAGGCGUCGUGUGAAAGCCCUCGGCUCAACCGGGGAACUGCACGGCGAACCGCAUGUCUUGAGACAAGUAGGGGCGGCCGGAACGAUAGGUGGAGUGGUGAAAUGCGUAGAUAUCAUUUGGAACGCCAAUGGUGAAAACAGCUCGCUGGGGGUUUGCUGACGCUGAGACACGAAAGCCAGGGGAGCGAACGGG